Molecule: non-coding RNA, 256 nt
Filed under: Evansella cellulosilytica
Lineage: Bacteria; Bacillati; Bacillota; Bacilli; Caryophanales; Bacillaceae
Description: Bacillus cellulosilyticus T-box sequence
Rfam family: T-box leader
About the family: Uncharged tRNA acts as the effector for transcription antitermination of genes in the T-box leader family.
Source: RNAcentral
AUAUGUCCAAUGACAGGAUGAGUAAAAGGUCGUAUUUCAUGACAGAGAGCCAGGGUAGCUGAAAACUGGUAUGAAAAGCACUUUUGAAUAUGGUCCUUGAGGAAUUUUCCUUCGAGCAAUUAGGUUGUAAGGGGGAAACGUAUCUAAGCGUUAUUUAGUUAGCUACGACUAUAUUGUGUAGCUUCAGAGGCUGUCAAAGGAUAAAGUAGACAGUGAAUCUGGGUGGUACCACGUGAGUGUAACUUUCGUCCCAAGU